UUGUGGUAGCCCGCAAAAUAUUGGGACAUAUAAAAAAAGACAACUCUGUUCCACAGAGUAGCUGUUGACAUUAUAGUUGCGCAGGCACUUUGUUGACUCUAGAGAACCUCGGGCCAAUCGCACAUCCCCGUGGCGGCGACUUUACAUGCAGACGUCAUCCAUAUCAACUUUCGAUGCCAGUUUCUGCGCCUGCCAUGGAGAGCACGGGUAACGGGGAAUCAGGGUUCCAUUUCGUACAGGGACCCUGAGAAAUGGCUACCACAUGCAAGGAAGGCAGCAGGCACGCAAAUGACCCACUCCUGACGCGGGAAGGUAGUGAUGA
Non-coding RNA from Pelobates cultripes (western spadefoot toad), 322 nucleotides. The record is from the annotation of a GenBank genome assembly. NCBI's taxonomy places the organism in Eukaryota, Metazoa, Chordata, Amphibia, Anura, Pelobatidae.